GCGGCCGCCCAGUGCGCCGCCGUCCAGCCGCGCGCGUCCUCCGCCUCCGCCGGUCUCGGGCCCGGAGCCUCCAGCAGGCGCGCGACCAGCAGCGUGUGGCCCAGCGCAGCGGCCCAGUGCAGCGGCGUGAGGCCCGUCCCGGAGCGCGCUGCCGCCGAGGCCCCGCGCUGCAGCAGCAGCUCGGCCACCCGCGAGUGCCCGUGCCAGGCGGCCUCGUGCAGCGCGGUGCGCCCCGCCCGGUCCACCGCGCCCACCGGGGCCCCUCGCUGCAGCAGGAGACGUACCAGGGGCGCGUGGCCCCGCAGCACGGCCAGAAGGAAAGCUCUGUAAGGCUGAUCAGGAAAGAAGCGAGGAGCUCUGGGGGCCGGGUGGAAAGUCCUGUACUCAUCAGGGCCAGGGAGCCACAGAAACUACCUCACGCCAGCUUCCCAGAGGUACAGAGGCUAGAAUGGACCUCCAGGAGGCCCCUCCCAAGACUCCCGCCUCCCGGGUUCCACCGUAGUGGGGGCAGCCACAGCUGCCUCUGCAAUGCUUGU
This 536-nucleotide non-coding RNA is filed under the name Pongo abelii (Sumatran orangutan). The record is from RNAcentral. Lineage: Eukaryota; Metazoa; Chordata; Mammalia; Primates; Hominidae.